This 839-nucleotide ribosomal RNA is filed under the name uncultured marine bacterium. RNAcentral's name for it is "bacterial SSU rRNA". It matches the Rfam family "Bacterial small subunit ribosomal RNA", at positions 36 to 922 of the family's 1533-position model. The record is from RNAcentral.
CUGGCGGCAGGCCUAACACAUGCAAGUCGAGCGCACUCUUCGGAGUGAGCGGCGGACGGGUUAGUAACGCGUGGGAACAUACCCUUUUCUACGGAAUAGCCUCGGGAAACUGAGAGUAAUACCGUAUACGCCCUUUUGGGGAAAGAUUUAUCGGUGAAGGAUUGGCCCGCGUUUGAUUAGAUAGUUGGUGGGGUAACGGCCUACCAAGUCUACGAUCUAUAGCUGGUUUUAGAGGAUGAUCAGCAACACUGGGACUGAGACACGGCCCAGACUCCUACGGGAGGCAGCAGUGGGGAAUCUUAGACAAUGGGCGCAAGCCUGAUCUAGCCAUGCCGCGUGAGUGAUGAAGGCCUUAGGGUCGUAAAGCUCUUUCGCCUGUGAUGAUAAUGACAGUAGCAGGUAAAGAAACCCCGGCUAACUCCGUGCCAGCAGCCGCGGUAAUACGGAGGGGGUUAGCGUUGUUCGGAAUUACUGGGCGUAAAGCGCACGUAGGCGGAUUGGAAAGUUGGGGGUGAAAUCCCGGGGCUCAACCCCGGAACUGCCUCCAAAACUAUCAGUCUAGAGUUCGAGAGAGGUGAGUGGAAUUCCAAGUGUAGAGGUGAAAUUCGUAGAUAUUUGGAGGAACACCAGUGGCGAAGGCGGCUCACUGGCUCGAUACUGACGCUGAGGUGCGAAAGUGUGGGGAGCAAACAGGAUUAGAUACCCUGGUAGUCCACACCGUAAACGAUGAAUGCCAGUCGUCGGGCAGUAUACUGUUCGGUGACACACCUAACGGAUUAAGCAUUCCGCCUGGGGAGUACGGUCGCAAGAUUAAAACUCAAAGGAAUUGACGGGGGCCC